This 273-nucleotide ribosomal RNA is filed under the name uncultured bacterium. Its description in RNAcentral is "partial 16S ribosomal RNA". It matches the Rfam family "Bacterial small subunit ribosomal RNA", at positions 524 to 796 of the family's 1533-position model. The record is from RNAcentral.
CACGUAGGGGACGAGCGUUGUCCGGAUUCAUUGGGCGUAAAGCGCGCGUAGGCGGCUCGGAAAGUCGGUUGUGAAACCCCGGGGCUCAACCCCGGGACUGCAUCCGAUACUUCCGGGCUGGAGGCAGGUAGGGGAGAUCGGAAUUCCUGGUGUAGCGGUGAAAUGCGCAGAUAUCAGGAGGAACACCGGUGGCGAAGGCGGAUCUCUGGGCCUUGCCUGACGCUGAGGCGCGAAAGCUAGGGGAGCGAACAGGAUUAGAAACCCCCGUAGUCC